This 75-nucleotide antisense RNA is filed under the name Streptomyces sp. AS41. RNAcentral's name for it is "Streptomyces sp. SLBN-118 ASpks TB sRNA". It matches the Rfam family "ASpks TB sRNA". The record is from RNAcentral. RNAcentral also lists the same sequence under 1 other name. Lineage: Bacteria; Bacillati; Actinomycetota; Actinomycetes; Kitasatosporales; Streptomycetaceae.
CUUCACCGAGCCCAGCCACAGGGGCCGGUCGGCCGGUCGGUCCUGCCCGUAGGUGGCAAGGAGCGCCUGAGCCUC